This 69-nucleotide transfer RNA is filed under the name Bigelowiella sp. RCC560. Lineage: Eukaryota; Cercozoa; Chlorarachniophyceae. The record is from RNAcentral.
UAAUUCACCAGGUGGUUCAGUUACAGCAGGCCUAAAAAUUAUGGACGCUUUAAACUAUGUAAAAGUAAG